This is a long non-coding RNA of Esox lucius (northern pike), 5489 nucleotides long. The record is from Ensembl. Lineage: Eukaryota; Metazoa; Chordata; Actinopteri; Esociformes; Esocidae.
CUAAGAGCUGCAAAAGUUGGUUGAUUUAUUACUGUAGCUAGCUAGAAAACGUCAGCUAACCGCUAGCAAACGUCAGCUGCCCGCUAGCUAACAAAUCAUGACCAGUAAUUCAGCGCAGUGAAAAUGAAUAAACUAUAUAAAAUGCAUACAACGGGGAACGUGACUUGUAGAAAGUUUUUGCAAAGGUUUUGAUCGGUAGUAGUCGCUAAUAUAAUUUGUUUUUGUGCAUUAGUGUUGGCUGUCUGUUGGUACGUAAGUAACACUUCUUGUCCCGAUUUGAAUGCUUUCUACCUGGUUAAUAUCAUAGUAUGGUCUUGAAACAAUUACAAUCAGGAAAUUAAGUUAUAAACACUGUUUGAGCUAAAUGUGAGUAAAUAACAGCGCGGUUUUACCAGCCAUUGUUACGUUACUUGUAGCUAGGCAUGCUAAUGGUGCGUUCUAAACAUGACGUUCUAAUCACACCAGUGUGAUCGUACGCUCCAGGGACCACUCCAGAUUGAUCACACCGGUGUGAUCAUACGCGCCAAAGGGUUUUAAAGGGAUUGUUUGGCCUAGAUUCAUAUUUGGGUAAAAGUUCACUUACCCGGAGUUGUACCUGAAUAGUCAUUUUUUAAAACAAUCCAUUAUACAGCUCUGUCAGUCUGUAAUUAGCAUUAUUUGCAUUCUCCACAUCCGUGAUUGGAAACAACAAAGCUUCCCGCUUUACAAACGCUGCAUUGUAAGAGGAAAGGUCCUCCAAACCUUCUAACCAUAUUCUGUAAUCUGUCGCGGUGUGAUCUGCUGUUUAUGUGGCAGACAGCAAUAAUGGUUAAAGACUAUUUAAACUGCAGGAAUGCAACUUUUACCUCAGCCAUUACAUUUUUGCUGAAAUAACGUGUAAACGCUUAUUUACAGGAUUAAAGUGUGCUCUUGUACAAAUAUUACUGUAGAUGGCUGGCUAAUAGUUAGACAGUACUUACACCGAUCAGCCAUAACAUUGUUACCACCUGCCUAAUAUUGUGUAGGUCCCACUUUUGCCACCAACAGUCCUGACCCAUCGAGGCAUGGACUCCACUAGACCUCUGAAGGUGUGCUGUGUGCUGUGGUAUCUGGCACCAAGACGUUAGCAGCAGAUCCUUUAAGUCCUGUAAGUUGCGUGGUGGGGCCCGCAUAGAUCGGUCUUGCUGAAUUGGGUUGAGAUCUGGGGAAUUUGGAGGCCAAGUCAACUCCUUGAACUCGUCGUUGUGUUCCUCAAACCAUUCCUGAACCAUUUUUGCUUUGUAGCUGGGCGCAUUAUCCUGCUGAAAAAGGCCAAUGCCAUCAGGGAAUUUCGUUGCCAUGAAAGGGUGCACAUGGUCUGCAACAAUGCUUAGGUAGGUGGUAUGUGUCAAAGUAACAUCCACAUGAAUGGCAGGACACAAGGUCUCCCAGCAGAACAUUGCCCAAAGCAUCACACUGCCUCCGUUGGCUGGCCUUCUUCCCAUAGUGCAUCCUGGUGCCAUGUGUUCUCCAGGUAAGCCACGUGAUGUAAAACAUGAUUCUUCAGAUCAGGCCACCUUCUUCCAUCGCUCCGUGGUCCAGUUCUGAUGCUCAAGUGCCCAUUGUAGGCGCUUUCAGCUGGGGACAGGGGUCAGCAUGGGCACCCUGACUGGUCUGCGGCUACGCAGCCCCAUAUACAACAAACUGUGAUCCACUGUGUUCUGACACCUUUCUAUCAGUACCAGCAUUCACUUUUUCAGCAAUUUGAGCUACAGUAGCUCAUCUGUUGGUUUGGACCAAACAGGCCAGCCUUCGCUCCCCACGUGCAUCAUUGAGCCUUGGCUGCCCGCCGGUAUACAGUUUUUCCUUCCUUGGACCACUUUUGACAGGUAUUGACCACUGCAGCCCGGGAACACCCCACAGGGGCUGUAGUUUUGCCCUGACCCAGUCAUCAAGCCAUCACCGUUUGACCCAUGUCAAAGUCACGCCGAUCCUUAGACUUGCUCAUUUUUCCUGCUUCUAACACAUCAACGUUUGCUGCUUAAUUUAUUCCACCUACUGUCAGGUGCCAUGGUAACGAGAUUGUUAUUCACUUCUCCUGUCAGUGGUCAUAAUGUUAUGGCUGAUCGGUUUUUAAUGAAAACAAUUACUUCUAUCACGCCAUGGCUGGUUCAUUUCUUUAGAAAAACAGCAGUAUAAAUGGGUCACAUAAUACAAUUAUUCUUUUUAAUAUAUGACAUCCAUGGUCUUAUAGAGUGGAUAUAUAUUGUACCGCGUGGAUAAAUAUUUCUGAGACAAAAAUUUGAACAUCUGAGAGGGGAAUUGAACCGGGGUCAAAACAUUAAAGGUCAGGAAUAAUCCCACUAGACCACAGAGCCUGCUGGUAGUCAGUUAACCUCUAUAUGGUCUCCAAAUGCAAGUUUUAUCCCAGCCAUUCCAUUUUUGCUGAAAUAACAUGGGUAACGGAUAACUUGUUAACAGGACUAUUGUGUACUUUUGUGCAAAGAUCACUGUAGAUGGUCGUCCAUACAAUAACCGUUAAAUAGCCUAAUCAGAAAAUGUGCGUCUCGACAUCAGAAUUUUGUGAUAAACUGACUAGCGUUUCUUAUGUUUACUGUCACCACAAAUACCAUCUAUGAACUGUGAGUUUUAUUAGCCAGUAAUGGACCUACUAAAACUGCUGGUGAGGCUAAAGAUGAACUUUACAAUGUCAACGCUAUUUCAUUUCAUGGCACAAUUUGUUGGUUUUUCUUUCAUUUAUGAAUUACAUAGUUAUCUUGUCCAUCAAUAUAGGUGAAGAUAACUAUAACUAUUUAUAAAAAAAGGUCUCCAGCACCCCAGGCAUUAUGAGGGGGAUGAAAUCCGGAUGAUCAACCACACAUCUUGGAACGAGUUAAGCUUCAGGGACUGGGUCAUUCAUGGUCUCCAGCAUUGGAAUCAAUUGUUCCCACUCUUUGCAAAAAAAGUGGUAUAAGAUUGCACAAUCCACAACUACACCAACAAUUUCCGGACAUUCUGGGCAAUGGAUGGGGACUGGUUCUGGUUUACUAUCACCCCCCUCAGCUGCUAUUCCAGCCUCUGUUCAUUCUCUUGUGUGUUCUGGUUUGAAUAAGUCUCUCCCCUGGGAAAAAAAAAAGAGUCAAACAUGAUACAUGUGUAUUUUCCUUUCUCUCUCAAACAAAUCAAGUUUCACGGUCUGAUGUGAAUACCUAUGAUGAAAUGGGUAACUUGCUUUCUACCUAGCUAAUGCUAACUUGUGUUUACUGUGAUGUAUACACUUCCUCUUCCUGAAAACCUGUGGAUUGCACCAGUUGUGAGCAAAACUGACCGGUAAACAAAGGAAGUACAAUUUUAUUUGAAAAUCGGAUCGGUUGUGAAAACUUUAUUUUGAGGAAUACAACAUCACUAGUCUUUAGUUUGGAGUCGUUUUCAGUUUGUAUUGCUGCUUUUAUGAAGUGGGGACAGACUGGGACAGAGCUAAAUAAUGGGUUGUUUUGGCCAGAAACUGUGCCUUCAGGAACAACUCAGAGUGAGUGGACUUUCACCCAAAUAUGAAUCUGGGACAAAUUAUCUCUUCAUGUCAAUAAGAGACACGCUCUUAUCCAGAGCGACUUAGAUUUUCUUAAAUGUUUUCUUGUAUUUGUUUUUCUGCAUGUAUGUAUCCAUUCUACCUUGCAAUUGGUUGUUGCUUCCAGUUGGGGGGAGGAACUAUGUGAAACCUGAAGAGUAUAUUUUAUUUCCCCUGUCGCUCAGGUCCCGGCGUUCACCCUCUCCCGUCCGCCGGAGGAGAAGCAGCCGCUCACUGUCCAGGGAAAGGCAGAGGGACCAGGACCGGCAAAAGAACCGCGAGUUGGAUAGAGCACGGGACAAAGUGAGGGAGCGCGAGAGAGAGCAAGAGAGGCUGGAUCGCAAACCCGCUAAAGAGGUCCCCCCACCGCGUCGUUCGACCUCCUCUUCUUCCUCCUCCAGUUCGUCCUCUUCCUCCUCCUCCUCCUCCUCCUCCCCCUCUCCGGCCAGGGAAAGGAAGGAAUCACCCACUGACCAAGGGCUGAAAUCAGCAUCAGGGAAAGACGGAGGAAGCGACCGAGGGAAAGACGGAGGAAGCGACCGAGGGAAAGACGGAGGAAGCGACCGAGGGAAAGACGGAGGAAGCGACCGAGGGAAAGACGGAGGAAGCGACCGAGGGAAAGACGGAGGAAGCGACCGAGGGAGAGACGGAGGAAGCGACCGAGGGAGAGACGGAGGAAGCGACCGAGGGAGAGACGGAGGAAGCGACCGAGGGAGAGACGGAGGAAGCGACCGAGGGAGAAAGGCUUGUUCCUCCCCCUCGCCUCUUCCAUCCAAAGAGACCUGUCCCCUCCCCAGCCAAUCGGAAAGCAGAGCACCGCCCAAAGAGUCUCGACAUGCUGACCAGGCACGUUCCAGGUCGCCACUCAGCCAUUCGGAGAGCAGAGUCUCAGUAAGAGGCAGCUCCCGGACCCAAUCGCCUGCAGCUGUCCUGUCACGGGCAGCAGCCCACUCCACAGACCAGCCAAUCAGGACGGAAAAUGGAGUGAGUGACAAGGGGACAAAAGAUAACCUGAAAGGGAAGGCGGGCAGCCCCAGCUCUUCAUCAUCCUCCUCUUCCUCCUCCUCCUCUUCAUCCUCAUCUUCAUCAGACAGUUCUGACUCCGAGGCAGAGCAAGGAAAGGGAGACACCAGAGUAGUGAAGACAACUGCUUCCCAAAGCUCUUCCUCAUCAUCAUCCUCUUCUGAAAGUGAGAAGGAAGAGAAAAAGAGCCCGGUGCGUCCUCGCAGGCUGCCUGCUGAUUCGCUGAGAGACUCCCGCUCCCCCAGCUACUCUCCACCCCGCCAGCGGCGACCUGCACAUUCUCCGCCUGCCCGCAGGAGUGGCAGCAGACGGUCCCCAAGCCGAUCGCCAAGCAGUAAGAGAAGAAAAUGAUCCAUAAUGUCUCAAAUUUAACUGGCCCCCCAAAUCCUCUGUGGUUUUUCCACUUCUGUGCUGGUUUGAACUGGACUUUAUUGAGGGGGAAGGUGAAGACAUUUUGAUCUGUGAAUUGCAGAGCUGAAGGAAGCUCUGUUGUUAAUUUCCGUGGCACGACGAUAGCACCCACGGGAGGAACGCAUAGGCAGGAUUUGAAACCCAACCAAGACCAAAUGGUCUGCUUUUAGACAUGGGUUUCUGUACAUUUUGUUUUAUGGUGUACUGUAAGGAAGAAAAUUAACUGUAAAUGGUAGUUGGGAGACAGUGACAAGCAGGUUGAGCACAGCAACAUCUGUGCAGAUCGAUCGAUAGAACCUGGACUCAAAACACACUGAGUCCUUGGAAAUGAAAUUCUCUAAAUGGCAGUUACGUUCAUUGUGCUUAUUCUGCUCCUCUGUAUUUGCGCAUUCAACUUGUAGAUAUGACCCAUCUUCUGUAUUUUGUUUAUCACAGAAUGGAUUACGUGCCGUUUCAAUGUAUGUUGAUUAGAAACUGCAACUCUUGGUUUGUUUCUCUCUUUGUGAAAAUAAUGAAUGAUAAUAAAAAG